UGUUGGUUUGUUUAUAAUUUGCUUUUCGCUGUUUGAAAUAUUACGUAAAAACAUUCUGCAAUCGCUUAAAAGUAAUACAAAUUUAGUCUCAGUUUUCUGUUAUUCUUCAAAAAUAAAUUUAAUAAAAUGAAGAAUACAAACGAGACUGCGUCUUCUAAUUUGACAUCCUCUUUACAAGAUGCUCAAAUUAUGUAUAUGAAAAGAAUAGAGAAAGAAAAUUUGGAUCGAGUUCUAAGAUUAAAAAGAAUGCGAAGAAAUAAUAUUAUUACAGGAUUCGGUCUUGCAGGUGCUGUCUUGGGAACAUAUCUGUAUUCCAUUUUGGCAGUGAAGCAAGAAAAUUUCUUAGAUGAAUUAGAUGAGAAAGAAACCAGCUGAAAAUAUUUAUGGACUUAUUUUAUUUUGAAAAAUUUGAUUUGUAAAAAGGAUAAUUUUAUGUUCAUGUUGUAGAGUAAUGUAAUAAAAAACAACAUUCAUGUUUUG
This is a long non-coding RNA of Argiope bruennichi, 480 nucleotides long. RefSeq lists it as uncharacterized. The transcript has 2 exons. Lineage: Eukaryota; Metazoa; Arthropoda; Arachnida; Araneae; Araneidae. The record is from RefSeq and is a predicted model, not a curated record.